AUGCACGCUGGCGGCGUGCCUAAUACAUGCAAGUCGAGCGAACAGACGAGGAGCUUGCUCCUCUGACGUUAGCGGCGGACGGGUGAGUAACACGUGGAUAACCUACCUAUAAGACUGGGAUAACUUCGGGAAACCGGAGCUAAUACCGGAUAAUAUAUUGAACCGCAUGGUUCAAUAGUGAAAGACGGUUUUGCUGUCACUUAUAGAUGGAUCCGCGCCGCAUUAGCUAGUUGGUAAGGUAACGGCUUACCAAGGCAACGAUGCGUAGCCGACCUGAGAGGGUGAUCGGCCACACCGGAACUGAGACACGGUCCAGACUCCUACGGGAGGCAGCAGUAGGGAAUCUUCCGCAAUGGGCGAAAGCCUGACGGAGCAACGCCGCGUGAGUGAUGAAGGUCUUCGGAUCGUAAAACUCUGUUAUUAGGGAAGAACAAAUGUGUAAGUAACUAUGCACGUCUUGACGGUACCUAAUCAGAAAGCCACGGCUAACUACGUG
This 496-nucleotide ribosomal RNA is filed under the name uncultured bacterium. RNAcentral describes it as "partial 16S ribosomal RNA". It matches the Rfam family "Bacterial small subunit ribosomal RNA", at positions 29 to 507 of the family's 1533-position model. The record is from RNAcentral.